UGAACGCUAGCGGGAGCUUUACACAUGCCAGUCGAACGGCAGCAUGAGAGAGCUUGCUCUCUUGAUGGCGAGUGGCGGACGGGUGAGUAAUGUAUCGGAACGUGCCCGGUAGUGGGGGAUAACUACGCGAAAGCGUAGCUAAUACCGCAUAUUCUCUACGGAGGAAAGAGGGGGAUCGUAAGACCUCUUGCUACCGGAGCGGCCGAUAUCAGAUUAGCUAGUUGGUGGGGUAACGGCCUACCAAGGCGGUGAUCUGUAGCUGGUUUGAGAGGACGACCAGCCACACUGGGACUGAGACACGGCCCAGACUCCUACGGGAGGCAGCAGUGGGGAAUUUUCGACAAUGGGGGGAACCCUGAUCGAGCCAUCUCGCGUGUGGGACGAAGGCCUUCGGGUUGUAAACCACUUUUCUCAACGAAGAAAAGUCUUAGGCUAAUACCUUAAGAUGCUGACGGUAGUUGAGGAAUAAGCACCGGCUAACUACGUGCCAGCAGCCGCGGUAAUACGUAGGGUGCGAGCGUUAAUCGGAAUUACUGGGCGUAAAGGGUGCGCAGGCGGCUUGGAAAGAACGGUGUGAAAUCCCGGGGCUCAACCUCGGAACUGCACUAUUAACUGCCAAGCUAGAGUACCUC
Molecule: ribosomal RNA, 632 nt
Filed under: uncultured bacterium
Lineage: Bacteria
Description: bacterial SSU rRNA
Rfam family: Bacterial small subunit ribosomal RNA
Source: RNAcentral